UACAGAGGUCCCGAGCGUUGUUCGGAUUCAUUGGGCGUAAAGGGUGCGUAGGCGGCGGGGCAAGUCUGAUGUGAAAUCCUGGGGCUCAACCUCAGAACUGCAUUGGAUACUGCCUUGCUAGAGUACUGGAGAGGAAACUGGAAUUUACGGUGUAGCAGUGAAAUGCGUAGAGAUCGUAAGGAAGGCCAGUGGCGAAGGCGAGUUUCUGGACAGUUACUGACGCUGAGGCACGAAGGCCAGGGGAGCAAACGGGAUUAGAUACCCCCGUA
RNAcentral lists this ribosomal RNA (269 nucleotides) under uncultured bacterium. RNAcentral describes it as "partial 16S ribosomal RNA". It matches the Rfam family "Bacterial small subunit ribosomal RNA", at positions 524 to 792 of the family's 1533-position model. The record is from RNAcentral.